GCAGAUUCAAUUUUCUGCCACCGAAUACAUUAGCAUGGGAUAAUGGAAUAGGACCCUGUCCUCCUAUUUUCAGUUGGUUUUGGCAGCGCGAGGACUAGGGUAAUGAUUAAUAGGGAUAGUUGGGGGCAUUAAUAUUUAAUUGUCAGAGGUGAAAUUCUUGGAUUUAUGAAAGAUUAACUUCUGCGAAAGCAUCUGCCAAGGAUGUUUUCAUUAAUCAAGAACGAAAGUUAGGGGAUCGAAGACGAUCAGAUACCGUCGUAGUCUUAACCAUAAACGAUGCCGACCAGCGAUUAGGAGACGUUGAAUACAAAACACCACCAUCGGCGCGGUCGUCCUUGGCGUUCGUGUUCACGCACGGGCGCGAGGGCGGCUUAGCCCGAUGGCACCGGUGAAUGAC
Molecule: ribosomal RNA, 397 nt
Filed under: Acanthamoeba sp.
Lineage: Eukaryota; Discosea; Longamoebia; Acanthamoebidae
Description: SSU rRNA
Rfam family: Eukaryotic small subunit ribosomal RNA (bases 1-350)
Source: RNAcentral